This 73-nucleotide microRNA precursor is filed under the name Echinococcus granulosus. Its description in RNAcentral is "microRNA egr-mir-10229b precursor". Lineage: Eukaryota; Metazoa; Platyhelminthes; Cestoda; Cyclophyllidea; Taeniidae. The record is from miRBase by way of RNAcentral.
UAGAGUGGCGCUUGAUUUCAACGCUGAUAGAAAACACCGUACAUCAGUGUUGAUGUCAGGUUGCUUCUUUACU